AUUGAACGCUGGCGGCAUGCCUUACACAUGCAAGUCGAACGGCAGCACGGGAGCAAUCCUGGUGGCGAGUGGCGAACGGGUGAGUAAUAUAUCGGAACGUGCCCAGUCGUGGGGAUAACGUAGCGAAAGCUACGCUAAUACCGCAUACGAUCUACGGAUGAAAGCGGGGGGAUCGCAAGACCUCGCGCGAUUGGAGCGGCCGAUAUCAGAUUAGGUAGUUGGUGAGGUAAAGGCUCACCAAGCCGACGAUCUGUAGCUGGUCUGAGAGGACGACCAGCCACACUGGGACUGAGACACGGCCCAGACUCCUACGGGAGGCAGCAGUGGGAAUAUUGGACAAUGGCGAAAGCCUGAUCCAGCAAUGCCGCGUGAGUGAUGAAGGCCUUAGGGUUGUAAAGCGUCUUUUACCAGGGAUGAUAAUGGCAGUACCUGGAGAAUAAGCUCCGGCUAACUACCGUGCCAGCAGCCGCGGU
This 473-nucleotide ribosomal RNA is filed under the name uncultured bacterium. RNAcentral describes it as "bacterial SSU rRNA". It matches the Rfam family "Bacterial small subunit ribosomal RNA", at positions 30 to 521 of the family's 1533-position model. The record is from RNAcentral.